GCACUACUGAGGAGUCCCACAAUAGGACGAAACGGCCGUCCACUGC
Molecule: non-coding RNA, 46 nt
Organism: Schistosoma mansoni
Lineage: Eukaryota; Metazoa; Platyhelminthes; Trematoda; Strigeidida; Schistosomatidae
Source: Rfam